GAUGAACGCUGGCGGCGUGCUUAACACAUGCAAGUCGAACGAUGAAGCCCAGCCUGCUGGGCGGAUUAGUGGCGAACGGGUGAGUAACACGUGAGUAACCUGCCCUUGACUCUGGGAUAAGCCCGGGAAACUGGGUCUAAUACCGGAUAGGAGCGCCUGUCGCAUGACGGGUGCUGGAAAGAUUUUUCGGUCAUGGAUGGACUCGCGGCCUAUCAGCUUGUUGGUGAGGUAACGGCUCACCAGGGCGACGACGGGUAGCCGGCCUGAGAGGGUGACCGGCCACACUGGGACUGAGACACGGCCCAGACUCCUACGGGAGGCAGCAGUGGGGAAUAUUGCACAAUGGGCGGAAGCCUGAUGCAGCGACGCCGCGUGAGGGAUGACGGCCUUCGGGUUGUAAACCUCUUUCAGUAGGGAAGAAGCGAAAGUGACGU
Molecule: ribosomal RNA, 434 nt
Filed under: Micrococcus luteus
Lineage: Bacteria; Bacillati; Actinomycetota; Actinomycetes; Micrococcales; Micrococcaceae
Description: bacterial SSU rRNA
Rfam family: Bacterial small subunit ribosomal RNA
Source: RNAcentral